AGAAAAGAACAAAAUCAAGAAGGUAAUCACGUUUGAACCCCGGUAAAUUCAUUCAUUUCUAACGUACUUUUUUUUUCCUUCUUCCCUCUCCACUUUCCGAGGCGACGACUGCAGCGAACGAGACCCAUCGCUUCAUAUUUACUCACAGUGCAAGGGCAUACAGGUCCAUGCUGGAAAAAGAAAAGAAAAAGAGAAGACGAAGACAAGCCAAGCAAAAGACUUCUGUCAGAGGGAUGGAGACACAGGUGCUUUAAGGCUCAGUCGACUUGAUGAUGUGGAGAGGAAAAGGGAGAGAGAGAGAGAGAGAGAGAGAGAGAGAGAGAGAGAGAGAGAGAGAGAGAGAGAGGACAGCCCUGUGUCCCUGUUAGCAAUGGAAGCUUCAGUGAUGAAAACCAAGAACCGGUGUCAAGAACUUUUUUAGCACAUCACUACAGCUGCUGGGAAUAAAUAGCAGCCAACUGAAGAGCAUUAGGAGGAAGGGAA
Molecule: long non-coding RNA, 483 nt
Organism: Poeciliopsis prolifica (blackstripe livebearer)
Lineage: Eukaryota; Metazoa; Chordata; Actinopteri; Cyprinodontiformes; Poeciliidae
Exons: 3
Source: RefSeq, a predicted model, not a curated record